RNAcentral lists this ribosomal RNA (382 nucleotides) under Mytilus galloprovincialis (Mediterranean mussel). RNAcentral describes it as "partial 16S ribosomal RNA". It matches the Rfam family "Bacterial large subunit ribosomal RNA", at positions 1937 to 2566 of the family's 2925-position model. The record is from RNAcentral. Lineage: Eukaryota; Metazoa; Mollusca; Bivalvia; Mytilida; Mytilidae.
UAACGUGAGCGUCCUAAGGUAGCGCGAUAAUUUGCUUUUCAAUUGAAGGAUGGUAUGAAAGGGUUAACGAAGAAGGUGCUGUGUCUAAAAAUUCAAUUUAAACUAACUUUAAGGUGAAGAGGCCUUUAUGUAAAAGAAGGACGACAAGACCCUAUGAAGCUUUAUCUUAAUUGGAGCUUUCAGGCUCUUAUACGAUUUUGAUGGGAGAUCAGUAGAAAUAAGUCCUCUACUAUUAUAUUAAUCUUACUAGUAUUUCCUAACUUUAUAUGUGUGACUAGCUACUCUAGGGAUAACAGCGCAAUUUCUCCCGAAAGAUGGUAUUGGAGGGGAAGAUUGCGACCUCGAUGUUGGCUUUAGAUACCCUAGAGGCGUAGAAGCUUCU